AGAGUUUGAUCAUGGCUCAGAUUGAACGCUGGCGGUAUGCUUAACACAUGCAAGUCGAACGGUAGCAGCUCUUCGGAGGCUGACGAGUGGCGGACGGGUGAGUAACGCGUAGGAAUCUGCCUAUUAGUGGGGGACAACUUGUGGAAACGCAAGCUAAUACCGCAUACGCCCUACGGGGGAAAGGAGGGGAUCUUCGGACCUUUCGCUAAUAGAUGAGCCUGCGUUAGAUUAGCUAGUUGGUGGGGUAAGAGCCUACCAAGGCGACGAUCUAUAGCUGUUCUGAGAGGAAGAUCAGCCACACUGGGACUGAGACACUGCCCAGACUCCUACGGGAGGCAGCAGUGGGGAAUAUUGGACAAUGGGCGAAAGCCUGAUCCAGCAAUACCGCGUGUGUGAAGAAGGCCUUAGGGUUGUAAAGCACUUUCAAUUGGGAGGAAAAACAAGGGUUAAUACCCCUUGUCUUGACAUUACCUUUAGAAGAAGCACCGGCUAACUCCGUG
RNAcentral lists this ribosomal RNA (500 nucleotides) under uncultured bacterium. Its description in RNAcentral is "bacterial SSU rRNA". It matches the Rfam family "Bacterial small subunit ribosomal RNA", at positions 8 to 507 of the family's 1533-position model. The record is from RNAcentral.